RNAcentral lists this Y RNA (117 nucleotides) under Pongo abelii (Sumatran orangutan). RNAcentral's name for it is "Y RNA (ENSPPYG00000031719.1)". It matches the Rfam family "Y RNA". From Rfam's summary of the family: Y RNAs are components of the Ro ribonucleoprotein particle (Ro RNP), in association with Ro60 and La proteins. Lineage: Eukaryota; Metazoa; Chordata; Mammalia; Primates; Hominidae. The record is from RNAcentral.
GACUGGUCCAGAGGUAGCAAGUUAUCUCAGUUGAUUGUUCAUGGUCAGUUAUAGAUUAAACUCUUUGUUAUAUUUCCCCCCCAGCUCCUUCUCACUACUGCACUUGACUAGUUUUAG